Molecule: non-coding RNA, 85 nt
Filed under: Elusimicrobiota bacterium
Lineage: Bacteria; Pseudomonadati; Elusimicrobiota
Description: Elusimicrobia bacterium c-di-GMP sequence
Rfam family: c-di-GMP-I riboswitch aptamer
About the family: GEMM was predicted in a large-scale screen for bacterial structured RNA regulatory elements. Genes associated with GEMM are involved in a diverse array of functions, including chemotaxis regulation, signal transduction, secretion and chitin.
Source: RNAcentral
UAACGAAAAAGGUAGCCUCUGAGUAAUCAGAGUGAGUACACAAAACUAUAGGAUCCCGAUAUAUCGGGAUAGCCAGGAUGCCGAA